GCGGAAGUGGUGGAACUGGCAGACACGUCAGGUUUAGGUCCUGGUGCCCUUGGGUGUGCGGGUUCGAGUCCCGCCUUCCGCA
This 82-nucleotide transfer RNA is filed under the name Actinomycetota bacterium. Its description in RNAcentral is "Actinobacteria bacterium (freshwater metagenome) tRNA-Leu". It matches the Rfam family "tRNA". Rfam says of the family: Transfer RNA (tRNA) molecules are approximately 80 nucleotides in length. Their secondary structure includes four short double-helical elements and three loops (D, anti-codon, and T loops). Further hydrogen bonds mediate the characteristic L-shaped molecular structure. tRNAs have two regions of fundamental functional importance: the anti-codon, which is responsible for specific mRNA codon recognition, and the 3' end, to which the tRNAs corresponding amino acid is attached (by aminoacyl-tRNA synthetases). tRNAs cope with the degeneracy of the genetic code in two manners: having more than one tRNA (with a specific anti-codon) for a particular amino acid; and 'wobble' base-pairing, i.e. permitting non-standard base-pairing at the 3rd anti-codon position. The record is from RNAcentral. Lineage: Bacteria; Bacillati; Actinomycetota.